Cantharellus anzutake is the source of this 82-nucleotide non-coding RNA. The record is from the annotation of a RefSeq genome assembly. NCBI's taxonomy places the organism in Eukaryota, Fungi, Basidiomycota, Agaricomycetes, Cantharellales, Hydnaceae.
GACACUGUAGCUGAAUGGUUAAAGCAGUUGACUAGAAGUCAAUUCCACUAUAAGGGUGCAUGUUCAAGUCAUGCCAGUGUCU